Molecule: RNA transcript, 1785 nt
Organism: Cyprinus carpio (common carp)
Lineage: Eukaryota; Metazoa; Chordata; Actinopteri; Cypriniformes; Cyprinidae
Gene name: taste receptor type 1 member 1-like
Exons: 7
Source: RefSeq, a predicted model, not a curated record
AUGUAUUUAAGGCACACUAUCGCAAAAUCUGGCUAUCAAAUGUUGCAAGUAAUGAGGUUUGCUGUUGAGGAGAUUAAUAAUUCCACAACCCUUUUGCCCAAUGUUUCUCUGGGCUAUGAAAUUUUUGAUCAUUGUUCUACCACAAGGAAUUUCUAUUCAGUCUUAAGUUUCAUCUCAAAGAAUGGCUCAAUAAAACCUAAAGAAAAACUCAACAACUAUCAGCCUAAAGUGAUUGCUUUAACAGGACCAUUUGGAAGCUCAAGAAUUAUGGCUGUUGCACCACUUAUCACAAUGGACCUUAUGCCACUGGUGAAUUAUGGAGCUCCUAGCUAUGUGUUCAGCGAUAAACUUAAUUAUCCUUCUCAUGUAAGAACAAUUCCUAGCAACAAAGACCUGAUAGACAUGAUUAUUCACAUCAUACAGUGGUUUGGAUGGAACUGGGUUGCCUAUCUUGGUAACCCAGACAGUUACAGUUCAGAUGGACUAAUUAUGUUUAGCAAAAAUAUAAGAAAUACUGGCAUUUGUUUGGCCUAUCAAGACGGUCUGAAACUAAAUGCAAACUAUAGUCGAAUAUUUAAAAAGAUUGAUGAGCUUAACAUCAAUGUCAUUGUAAUUUUUGCUAUGCCACAAUAUGCAAUCAAAACGAUCAAAGCAGCCAUAGCACACAACGUCCGAGACAAAGUAUGGAUUGCAAGUCACCACUGGUCUAUGAAUAAACAGCUUCCAAGAGAGCCAGGAAUUGGGAAAAUUGGGACAGUCAUUGGCAUUACAGAGAAUCUGUUGUCAUUGCCUGGAUUUAAUGAAUUUGUCUAUAAAGCCAGAGGAACAACUAAUGUUGGCCAUAAUGAUGGAGCUGAGAGUAAAGUCCAGGGGAAGAGUAAGACAUGUAAUCAAGAUUGUGAUUACUGUUCAUUUUUGACCGCAGAGGAGAUUAUAAAUGAAGAUCGCUCACUCUCCUUUGGCAUCUAUUCUGGCAUAUAUACUAUAGCUCAUGCAUUACAUAAAGUUCUGCAGUGCAACAUGAAUGAAUGCCACAAAAAUACAAUGGUCAAGCCAUACAUGCUUCUGGAAGAAAUAAAGAAGUUGGAUUUUGUACUCAAUGACCGUAACAUUAAAUACGAUGAUCAGUUUGAUCCACCCACCAAUUAUGCAGUUGUGCACUGGCGCACUGAUUUGAAUCCUCCACAGUUUGAGAUGGUGGGCUCAUAUGAGAAACAUCCAGAAAUUACAUUCACCAUAGACAACUCUCUCCUUCACUGGCAUAAGAAUAGUUCUGUUCCUUUCUCAAACUGCUCUGUUGAGUGUAAAGCGGGAUAUUCAAGGAAACGUGAAGGUUUUCAUAGUUGCUGCUUUUCAUGUGAAAAAUGUCCACGUAACACCUAUGUGGAUUUUUCUCACACGCCACACAUCACUAUGUUUUAUGGCCAAAUCUUCACCUCUAAAUGAAACACAUUAGCCAAGAUAUGGCUCGCAGCCCAUUGGGAGAAGAAAAUAACCAAAGCACACGUGUUGGAAUGUGACCUAGAGACCACCAUAAAGGAGAUCUUAUCACCCCAGAUGAAAGUUGGUCUGUGAACUUCAGGUCACCUUCUUUUAGGAGUUGUCCGGAUAUACUCAAAGAAGACCAAAUACCUUCUUGCAGACUGCAGUGAUGCAUUGGUCAAAAUUAAAGUGGCUUUCAGACCAGGCCUUAGGUGUCAGGAUGUUUACGAUGAAGACUAUCCAGCGAGAAUGACGCAGAACCACCUUCCACUAGAGGCCUUCGGCCUGAGAGCGCCACUCUGA